AAUCAACGCUGGCGGCGUGCCUAACACAUGCAAGUCGAACGAGAAGGUGACUUCGGUCACUGGAUAGUGGCGUCCGGGUGAGUAACACGUAGGUAAUCUACCUUCGGGUGGGGAAUAACGUCUCGAAAGAGACGCUAAUACCGCAUAAUGCAGCGGCACCUAAUGGUGAUUAGUUGUUAAAGCGGGGGAGUCUUCGGACCUCGCGCCUGAAGAGGAGCCUGCGGCAGAUUAGCUAGUUGGUGAGGUAAUGGCUCACCAAGGCUUCGAUCUGUAGCUGGUCUGAGAGGACGGCCAGCCACACUGGCACUGACACACGGGCCAGACUCCUACGGGAGGCAGCAGUGGGGAAUUUUGGGCAAUGGGCGAAAGCCUGACCCAGCAACGCCGCGUGAAGGAGGAAAUCCUUCGGGAUGUAAACUUCAUAAGUAAGGGAAGAAAGCUGCGGGUUGAAUAAUCCGCAGUCCGACGUACCUUACGUAAGCCAC
RNAcentral lists this ribosomal RNA (485 nucleotides) under uncultured bacterium. Its description in RNAcentral is "bacterial SSU rRNA". It matches the Rfam family "Bacterial small subunit ribosomal RNA", at positions 32 to 494 of the family's 1533-position model. The record is from RNAcentral.